AGUACAGAGCUGAGCUCCCUGUGUGCAGGCUUCUGUUGAAGAAAAACCCCUGUGUUAUACUUAAAUUAUGAUAUGCUGUGAUGACAUGUUAUAUUCAAGUAGUUAUUCAUGAACACCGUUAUAGCCAAGAGCAAGGAACCCUGUACAGCUGCUGAGCCUCAAAGGGGUGAGCUCUUUGCACGGCUCCAGGAGACCUCUGGCUGCAAGAUUCCCAGAAGACGUGUGAGGUGUGAGGUCCAGUUCUGGUGUAUCAUCCUUGCCUGCAGCCUCUCCUGACGGGAUGGAACCUGGGCCCUCUGCGUUGAGAGUGCAGAGUCUUAGCCACUGGACAACCAGGGAUUAUGUAUAGUGUGUAUUCUUACUGAUUCAUUCGAUAACCAUUUGUGGAAAAUCUACCCCUUACCAGGCACACUGCCAAACACUGGGUUACAAUU
Molecule: long non-coding RNA, 434 nt
Organism: Cervus elaphus (red deer)
Lineage: Eukaryota; Metazoa; Chordata; Mammalia; Artiodactyla; Cervidae
Exons: 3
Source: RefSeq, a predicted model, not a curated record